Cavia porcellus (domestic guinea pig) is the source of this 2352-nucleotide long non-coding RNA. The record is from Ensembl. Lineage: Eukaryota; Metazoa; Chordata; Mammalia; Rodentia; Caviidae.
AUGUGCAGUCUUUUGAGAAGCCUUACUCCGGCCCUGCAAGCUCUUGUAAGCACUAAUACUCACUGUACCCCCUCUUUUCUCCCAAGCAGGCUAACACUGAGGAUUGGAAAUUUAUGGCCAACAACUGUUUCUCAAAACAAUGGAAGCUAUUGUUCUCACGGAACUAACCCCAGAGUGAUUCCCACAGCAAAUGAUCUGUGCUGGGAAGGUCCAAAGGUCAGCGGUGGAAGCCAGAAAGUCUAUGCCAGCAGGGUUAAGGAGCUGUGCUGGUAUGUUGAGGGUUCUAUGCUGAAGCCGAGAAGUCACACUCAAAACAAAGACCAGGGCUGUCCUGAAAAGCACCACAGCCAUCCUCAGCAACACGGAAGCCCCGAGCUCCUCCAACGACAAGGACAAGCAUAGUCGAGUGCCUGCCAGGGAGCCAGCGUGAAGAGUUCAUCCUGGAGACCAAGCACACAUCUUCCCUGUCAGAGCCAGGAAGCAAUGCAAGAUGUGAGGGUCAGAGCUUCUCCAGGAGAACCAAUGGCUCAAACAGCCACACAUAGGAGAACUCACAAUGCCUCAACGCCUCAGCGCCUCGACUCAGUGACGUAUUAAUGCCUGCCUUCUUCUCCACCUCUCUAUUUUUGCUGGCAACUUUCCUCAGGUGGAGCAUCUAUGCUCAGUGCCAUGCUGAUGUAAUCCAGCUGGCAUUAAAUUGAUCACCAGCUCUUAAUCCGUAACACUCCUCUUUCCUUCUCUUCCCCCGCCUCACUUUCUUGCUUUCUUGUUUCUUUCCAAAAUGUUAUUUUCCCAAUUAUAGUCUAUCUCAUUCAUGAAAUUUCAAGGUGGGAAGAACUUGAAGGUUCUAGACCAAUCACUCACCCUUCCAAAAAUCUUCAUAAAUGGCCAUACAGGGUCUGCUAGGAUAUUUUAGCAAUAAAAAUUACUUUAUCAAGCAACUCAUAUAUUACUUUUGAGAAAAUUCUUCAUUGCUUUGUGCCAGGAUCUGUCUAUGUCUCUGAGAUUCUAUGUAUCUGAAAUUCUGUUUAUCUAUUUCUAUCUAUCUCUGUAUCAUCUAUCUAAAUUCUUUCUUCUUUACUUUUUAAGAAAAAAAUAUUAAAGGUCACCUCUUGAAUUGUUCAACUGUUAUUUUCUAACAACAGGGGUUCUCCUCACCAAAUCCCUGUUCUUGCUAAACAAUUCCUUUUUUUUCCUGUUAUUCUUCAUCUAUUACUAUUAAUUUUAUAACUUUCUUUUCCUUUGAGCAUAUUCCAAUACCUCAAGAGUCGCACUCAAGCGUGGAACACUUGGUUUGGGAUUCGAGUAGUACAAAACAAAAUAUUAAUACCACACCAACUUAUUUAUAUAACUGUCUAGAAUGACUUUUUGGCUGUUUCAUCUCAUUUCUCAUUCAAAUUAAUGCCACUACAAAUAAAAACCUCUAAGCCUUCUCUGUUUUGGUUCGGUCACUUUGUUAAUAUGACAUAAUCCAUGACUUGAUCUUAAGAGGGUGACUGACUACAUUAUUCCUAUUAAAUUCAUCAUCAUUUGAGUUAUUUUUGACACUAUUUUCAGUGCAUUAUUUUACUGUUAGUGUUUUGUUUAACCUUUGUUUAAACCUUUGUCCAUAUUAACUGACAAAAUGUUGAAUAUGGCAGAAUUGAGAUCAGGGUUAUAAAACAUCCCUAUUAAUCGCCAUAAAUGCUUCUAUAUGUUUGAUUUUAAAUUUAUAGCUCUAUGUUGUGUCUGUUUCCAAACUUCAGAUAAAUAUAAUAAAUAUAUCCUGCUGACAUAUUUAAUGUGCUGAUUUUCAUGUGCCCAAACCCUAGAUUUCUAUUUCAAAGUCAAACUCUCUGGUCAUUCUCAUCACACAGUGAAUUAAAUUCAAAACUCAGAAGUCAUUUUUACUUUUUAUUUCCUUUCCUUGAUCUAAGUUUAAGUCUUCCUGGAAUAACCCCCAUGGACUACAUGUUUGACUCUAUUUCCACUCUUUUCUCACACAUAUUUUUUCAACAACAAUCCAAGGAUCUUUCAAGAAUGUACAAUUCAACACAUAUUCUUCUUAAGGUGUAGUAUAUAUACAUAGAUAAUAGGAUACAUGUAAUGUAUAUACAUAGAAAAAUAACCAGUGAGUUAUCACAAGGAAAACUUAUCUUUGAACAACAAAUAGAACAUUACUAUGCCUGAGAAGCCUCUUUUAUACCUAUUCUUUAUCACCACCCACAUUUUCUUCCCAAAAGUAGCUACAGUUUUUAUCCAGAACUUUCCUCACAAUAUAUUAAAUGUGCCUGUUUUAAAUUUUGCAUAAAGGGAGUCACACUAUUGUCUGUGUAGUAUACCUCAUUAAAUAUGACUGUGACAUCCACGUUG